Molecule: ribosomal RNA, 666 nt
Filed under: Helvella macropus
Lineage: Eukaryota; Fungi; Ascomycota; Pezizomycetes; Pezizales; Helvellaceae
Description: eukaryotic LSU rRNA
Rfam family: Eukaryotic large subunit ribosomal RNA
Source: RNAcentral
AAUCUGGGGUCCCCGACCUCCGAGUUGUAAUUUGGAGAGGCAUCUUCGGGGGGGAGCGCCGGCCCAUGUUCCUUGGGACAGGACGUCACAGAGGGUGAGAAUCCCGUGCCUGGCCGGCUGCCUCCUCCCGGGUGGAGGGCCUUCGACGAGUCGAGUUGUUUGGGAAUGCAGCUCCAAGUGGGUGGUAAAUUUCAUCUAAAGCUAAAUACCGGCGGGAGACCGAUAGCGCACAAGUAGAGUGAUCGAAAGAUGAAAAGCACUUUGAAAAUAGAGUCAAAAAGUACGUGAAAUUGUUGAAAGGGAAGCGCUUGAGACCAGACUCGGGCCUGGGCAAACAUCGCGCCCCUCGGGGCCGUGCAAUUGCCCGGGCCCGGGCCAGCAUCAGUUGGCGUGGCGGGACAAAGGCGCGGGGAAUGUGGCUCCCCUCGGGGAGUGUUAUUAGGCCCGCGCUCAAUGCCGCCGACGCCGACUGAGGACCGCGCCUCGGCUAGGAUGCUGGCUUAAUGGCCUUCAGCGACCCGUCUUGAAACACGGACCAAGGAGUCUAACAUCUAUGCGAGUGUUUGGGCGACAAACCCUUGCGCGGAAUGAAAGUGAGCGGAGGUGGGAACCCCCUCGCGGGGCGCACCAUCGACCGAUCCUGAUGUCUUCGGAUGGAUUCGAGUA